This 1459-nucleotide long non-coding RNA is filed under the name Oryctolagus cuniculus (rabbit). Its description in RNAcentral is "lncRNA (ENSOCUG00000030640.1)". Lineage: Eukaryota; Metazoa; Chordata; Mammalia; Lagomorpha; Leporidae. The record is from RNAcentral.
AUGUGUGUCAGCGGACCUGUCAUCCCAAGGAAAGGACCCGCACGGCCCGGUUGCGCCGGGGACAAUGGUGACCUGGACAAAACCCACACGGUGUCGUUGUGGCCAAAUAUAUGUCAUUUCAGAAACGCUGAUCAAAACCAGAAUCUUAAAAAAAAAAAUCAUGGAAUAAGAGCAAGCAUCCUUGCCCAGAGGGCGAAGUCCACAGAACACACUGCCUCGUGGGUGAGUGGGCGAGCCCGGCCCUUCUCCGUCGCAGGCUCCGGCGCUGGCAUGGGAGUGACUGAUCCUGGUCCUGGCACUCUGCCAUCGUCUUCCUCCUCGACAUGGGUGCCACUGGAAUCCUUCGUCACUUCUCACGUUUGCCCAAGGUCGAUGCAAGUGGCCAAAGUCCACACCAAAAUGAAGAGGAUGCUCCUCUCCAGACAUGGACAUACGGUCACACAGAGCGCCUGUGCGUGAAACCGGAAACAGCGAACCUUGUCUCCUCUCUGCUGUGAGCUCACAAGGGAGACUGCUCCUUGCUGCUCUGCUCUGUGCCGCGGGUGGCUCCUCCCACCCACCCCAGCAGCUGCAGGCCUGGGACAGGACCCACCACAUCCCACGGAGAGGUCACCGCUGAUGACCUCGCCUCCUUUCUGAAAUGCUCCUUAGUGUACACACCUCCGUGUCCAUCAAACCGGAGUUCUGCUGGAAAGCCAAAAUAACAACACGGCCCCAAGGACAGAGCUCAGAGCCUUUGGAAGCUUUUUGCAAUUCUUAUGCACACGAAAAUGCGCCCAUUACGUGUCUCCAGGCCCCUUCCUCCACUCCCAAGAUAAGAGCUCGGUAAUGAAGGAAACGUGACGAGUUCAGCCGCUGCUAACGGACGGGCCAGGUGCAGACGGCAGAUUUCCACGUUAAUGAGCAUCUUCUAGGAGUCAGAUGAAGCGAACGCUGACGGACGCUCCGGGAAGCGCUCCCAGGGUGUCCGUCCAUCUCCUGCCAAGCGCCAGCCAGAGACAGCGGUCCCCUCGGGUCCCGGACGAGGCUGUCAAUCUACUGCUCGUCCCAAUGCCAGCAGCUACGGGAAGUGUGCGAAAUGCGGGUGUGCAAAGUGUUUUCCGCCUCCGCCGCCCUCCUGCUUUGUGUGGUUGCCAAGUCGGAGGAGAAAAGAGGGAGCCGCUCACCUACUCACGCCGCUUUCGUCAACGGCCCUGGUGUUCUCCGCGCGGAGAGCCAGCGCCUCUCUAACCAAGAGACAGAAGAGCGGCCCUCGCAGCCUGCCCUCCCAGGCCCGCCUCCUGGGACGCGCUCCGUCACUCUCCAAGGCUGCCCAGAGUUGGUUCUAUACAAGUUCUUCUGAGAGCAGAAGCCAGCCGCAGGCAGCGGUCAGGACGCCACCCAGAGCCGGCAUCCCACAGCAGAGUCUGGGUUCAGGUCCUGGCUCUGCUGCUCACUCCAGCGUCCUGCCAGCAUGCAU